RNAcentral lists this ribosomal RNA (1664 nucleotides) under human gut metagenome. RNAcentral's name for it is "bacterial LSU rRNA". It matches the Rfam family "Bacterial large subunit ribosomal RNA", at positions 828 to 2505 of the family's 2925-position model. The record is from RNAcentral.
UCCAAUCGAACUCGGAGAUAGCUGGUUCUCCCCGAAAUAGCUUUAGGGCUAGCGUCGGAUAUGUGUAGUGGAGGUAGAGCACUGAAUGGGCUAGGGGGCAUAUCGCUUACCGAACCUUAUCAAACUCCGAAUGCCAUAUACAUUUAGUCCGGCAGUCAGACUACGAAUGAUAAGAUCCGUGGUCAAAAGGGAAACAGCCCAGAUCGUCAGCUAAGGUCCCAAAGUGUAAGUUAAGUGGAAAAGGAUGUGGGAUUUCUAAGACAACUAGGAUGUUGGCUUAGAAGCAGCCACUCAUUUAAAGAGUGCGUAAUAGCUCACUAGUCGAGAGAUCCUGCGCCGAAAAUGUCCGGGGCUAAAACUUACCACCGAAGCUACGGGCUUGCGUAAGCAAGCGGUAGGGGAGCGUCGUAAUCGGGCUGAAGUCGUACCGUAAGGAGCGGUGGACUGAUUACGAGUGAGAAUGUUGGCAUUAGUAGCGAGAUGUAGGUGAGAAUCCUACAGGCCGAAUAUCUAAGGUUUCCUCAGGAAGGCUCGUCCGCUGAGGGUUAGUCGGGACCUAAGCCGAGGCCGAAAGGCGUAGGCGAUGGACAACAGGUUGAUAUUCCUGUACCACUACCAUCGUUAUUAUCGAGGGUGUGACGGAGAAGGAUAGUGUGUGCUAGCGAUUGGAAAUGCUAGUCUAAGCGUUUAGGCAGUUACGGUAGGCAAAUCCGCUGUAACGUUAAUGCUGAGGCGUGAUGGGGAAGGCCCUUGAGGCUGAAGUACAUGAUUCCAUGCUUCCAAGAAAAGCAUCUAGAGAGAGAAGUAGUGCCCGUACCGCAAACCGACACAGGUAGAUGAGGAGAGAAUCCUAAGGCCGGCGGAAGAAUUGCAGUUAAGGAACUAGGCAAAUUGACCCCGUAAGUUAGCGAGAAGGGGUGCCUGCGAGAGCAGGCCGCAGAGAAUAGGCCCAAGCAACUGUUUAGCAAAAACACAGGUCUCUGCUAAAGCGCAAGCUGAUGUAUAGGGGCUGACGCCUGCCCGGUGCUGGAAGGUUAAGGGGAACACUUAGCGCAAGCGAAGGUGUGAACUUAAGCCCCAGUAAACGGCGGCCGUAACUAUAACGGUCCUAAGGUAGCGAAAUUCCUUGUCAGGUAAGUUCUGACCCGCACGAAUGGCGUAAUGACUUGGGCACUGUCUCAACUGCAAAUCCGGCGAAGUUGUAGUGCGAGUGAAGAUGCUCGCUACCCGCGAUUGGACGGAAAGACCCCGUAGAGCUUUACUGUAGCUUAGCAUUGAAUUCCGGUAUUGUCUGUACAGGAUAGGUGGGAGACUGGGAAACUAGGGCGUCAGCCUUAGUGGAGUCGUCCUUGGGAUACCACCCUGACAGUACUGGGGUUCUAACAGGACGCCAUGAAUCUGGUGACUGGACAUUGUUAGGUGGGCAGUUUGACUGGGGCGGUCGCCUCCUAAAAAGUAACGGAGGCGCCCAAAGGUUCCCUCAGAACGGUCGGAAAUCGUUCGUAGAGUGCAAAGGCAGAAGGGAGCCUGACUGCGAGACCUACAAGUCGAGCAGGGACGAAAGUCGGGCUUAGUGAUCCGGUGGUACCUCGUGGGAGGGCCAUCGCUCAACGGAUAAAAGCUACCUCGGGGAUAACAGGCUGAUCUCCCCCAAGAGUCCACAU